Molecule: transfer RNA, 65 nt
Filed under: Dipodomys ordii (Ord's kangaroo rat)
Lineage: Eukaryota; Metazoa; Chordata; Mammalia; Rodentia; Heteromyidae
Rfam family: tRNA
About the family: Transfer RNA (tRNA) molecules are approximately 80 nucleotides in length. Their secondary structure includes four short double-helical elements and three loops (D, anti-codon, and T loops).
Source: Rfam by way of RNAcentral
GGUGGCUCAGUGGUAGAGCGCUUGCCUUGCAUGCACGAGGUCCUAGGUUCAAUUCCUCAGCACCA